CUUUAAGAACUAUUUAUUCUCUUUCAUGACAUUUUCAGGAGCAAGGUGGGUUGCUUAAGACCUUCAGCUUGGGUCUCAUUGGAGACCCUCUUAUAACAAUCUGUUAAGUCAGUUAUGAAUCUGCAUUUUAUACUUUAAAAUCCUUUCUCAUUAUGGAAUGAAGAGAGUUGCCUUCUAUUUAGAAAAUAUGGAGCAACUGGGAAACAUUAGAAGAUUUGGCAUUGGGGACCCUUCUUCUGGCCUCUGAAAUCUCACUGGCCCAGUAAUUUUCAUUUUCUUGUGUUUAAAAUGCUUUUUCACUAUUAGAAUUCUAGUAACAAUAUACAAUAACUGCUGAAGACAGUUACUCCAACGAGCUCGUUUUGUUCAGUGUUGCUGGCUCUGUUAACUGCCUUUCCCUUGGCUCCAAGUUCAAGUGUGAGAAAAACUUCUUACCAUCUUACAAUCCCCUAUUAAGCAGUGAGGAAUAUGUGACAUUUCUUUGAACAUUACACUCUGUUUCUUCUACCCUGGGGGGAGUCACACGGUGAGCUCAGAGUUGACCUGGUAGUCCAUGUGGUUAAUAGUAUGACGGCACAGUGGGACCUAAGUAUUGUGUACUCUCCAGUGUGUGCCUCUGAUGGGAAGAGCAGGAUGGUAAACACCACUGCACCACUGCCUGACCCUAAAACUGGUCCAGCAGGCACAGGGGCUCUGCAGUUAUCCACAGAGCAAAGGUGCACCUGGACCGAAUGCCUACAACCAAAACCACUGCUUGCCUUACCAUGGAAGGGAGAAAUGGAAAACAGGAGGAAGUGGCUUUACGAAGAGAGACCAAGCUUUUGUGUUUGCCUCCUUUGCCCAGUAAGAAAGCAGAGACGACAGGGCAGGGUGCCACACUUGGCCACAGUUGGAGCACCUUUCUCCUUCCGCACUGUGUAUAGCCUUUCACUGGCUUAAAGGGCAUGUGCAUGGCCUCACUUAGCCCAAAGCACAUCUGUUUCUACAAAUAUGUUAACAGUGCUUUGCCUCUUGCUGUUGUUUGCUGACAGAGUCUCACUAUGUGUCAUAAGCUUGCUUGGAACUCAAGAUCUUCCUGCCUAAUCCUGCAGCAUGCUAGAAUAACAAGUAUAUGCCACUCUACC
Molecule: long non-coding RNA, 1124 nt
Filed under: Mus spicilegus (steppe mouse)
Lineage: Eukaryota; Metazoa; Chordata; Mammalia; Rodentia; Muridae
Description: lncRNA (ENSMSIG00000014883.1)
Source: RNAcentral